This 2201-nucleotide ribosomal RNA is filed under the name Blautia massiliensis (ex Durand et al. 2017). RNAcentral's name for it is "partial 23S ribosomal RNA". It matches the Rfam family "Bacterial large subunit ribosomal RNA", at positions 1 to 2236 of the family's 2925-position model. Lineage: Bacteria; Bacillati; Bacillota; Clostridia; Lachnospirales; Lachnospiraceae. The record is from RNAcentral.
AGGUCAAGCAAUAAGGGCACAGGGCGGAUGCCUUGGCACUAAGAGCCGAUGAAAGACGUGAUAAGCUGCGAAAAGCUUCGGGGAGGAGCAAAUAUCCCGUGAUCCGGAGAUGUCUGAAUGGGGAAACCCGCAUGAGCAGACCUCAUGCAUCCAUACGCCAAUCCAUAACGUAUGGAAGGGAACCCGGGGAACUGAAACAUCUAAGUACCCGGAGGAAAAGAAAGAAACAUCGAUUCCGUAAGUAGCGGCGAGCGAACGCGGAGGAGCCUAAACCGGUGUGCGUGCAUGCCGGGGUCAUGGACUGCAUUUAAGAUUCAGCGAAGUUAACAGAACGGUUUUGGGAAAGCCGGCCGGAGAGGGUGAAAGCCCCGUACGUGAAAGCAGAGCUGACUGAGCAGGAUCCGGAGUACCACGAGACACGAGGAACCUUGUGGGAAGUAAGGGGGACCACCCCCUAAGGCUAAAUACUACUUAGUGACCGAUAGCGCAUAGUACUGUGAAGGAAAGGUGAAAAGGACCCCGGGAGGGGAGUGAAAGAGAACCUGAAACCCUGUGUCUACAAGCUGUGGGAGUACUUUAUAUGUACGACCGCGUACUUUUUGUAGAACGGUCCGGCGAGUUACGCUUACUGGCAAGGUUAAGUCCUCAAGGGAUGGAGCCGUAGGGAAACCAAGUCUUAACAGGGCCAGAGUCAGUAGGAGUAGACCCGAAACCGGGUGAUCUAUCCAUGUCCAGGUUGAAGCUGCCGUAAGAGGUAGUGGAGGACCGAACCCACAUCCGUUGAAAAGGGUGGGGAUGAGGUGUGGAUAGGGGAGAAAUUCCAAUCGAACCCGGAGAUAGCUGGUUCUCCUCGAAAUAGCUUUAGGGCUAGCCUCGGUGUGAGUCUUGCGGAGGUAGAGCACUGAAUUUCCUAGGGGGCGUCAAAGCCUACCGAAGAAUAUCAAACUCCGAAUGCCGUGUAGAUAUCACCGGGAGUCAGACUGCACGAGAUAAGUUGGGCGGUCAAAAGGGAAAGAGCCCAGACCUACAGUUAAGGUCCCAAAGUGCGCGUUAAGUGGAAAAGGAUGUGGGAUUUCGAAGACAACCAGGAUGUUGGCUCAGAAGCAGCCAUACAUUCAAAGAGUGCGUAAUAGCUCACUGGUCGAGAGGUCCUGCGCCGAAAAUGUCCGGGGCUGAAACGCGCCACCGAAACUAAGGAAUCUGAAAAGAUUGGUAGAGGAGCAUUGCAUGCGGGAAGAAGCAGUACCGAAAGGAGCUGUGGACUGCAUGGAAGAGAGAAUGCCGGAAUGAGUAGCGAGAUAGAGGUGGGAAUCCUCUAGGCCGAAUAUCCAAGGUUUCCAGGGUAAAGCUGAUCUGCCCUGGGUGAGUCGGGACCUAAGGUGAGGGCGAGAGCCGUAGCCGAUGGACAACAGGUUGAUAUUCCUGUACUGCAGUAUGACAGAACUGUGGGGACACGUAAGGAGAGCGGGAGCCGGGAAUGGAAAGCCCGGUACAAGCGAGGUACCAGUAUGGCAGGAAAAUCCGCCAUGCAAUGGGAAGACGUGAUGUGGAGCGAAGAUUAGUAGCGAAGCCCGUGAGCCAUGCGUCAAGAAAAGCCGCUAUCGUUCAUAUUGUACCCGUACCGUAAACCGACACAGGUGGAUGAGGAGAGAAUCCUAAGGCCGGCGGAAGAAGUAUUGCCAAGGAACUCGGCAAAAUGGCCCCGUAACUUAGGGAGAAGGGGUGCCUGCGAGAGCAGGCCGCAGAGAAUAGGCUCAAGCAACUGUUUAGCAAAAACACAGGUCUAUGCGAAACCGAAAGGUGAGGUAUAUGGGCUGACGCCUGCCCGGUGCUGGAAGGUUAAGAGGAGAGGUUAGCAGCAAUGCGAAGCUUUGAAUUUAAGCCCCAGUAAACGGCGGCCGUAACUAUAACGGUCCUAAGGUAGCGAAAUUCCUUGUCGGGUAAGUUCCGACCCGCACGAAAGGCGUAAUGAUUUGAGCGCUGUCUCGGCAAUACAUCCGGUGAAAUUGAAGUGCCAGUGAAGAUGCUGGCUACCCGCGCCAGGACGGAAAGACCCCAUGGAGCUUUACUCCAGUUUGGCACUGGGGUCCGGUGUUGCAUGUACAGGAUAGGUGGGAGGCUGAGAAACGGUAACGUCAGUUGCCGCGGAGCCGCUGUUGGGAUACCACCCUUGUGAUAUUGGGCUUCUAACCAGCCGCCGU